GCUGUCGACCCGGCCUGGCGCCGGACUAGUGUCCCUUUUGAUGAGAAGAAUAAGCCUCAUUCUGAUUCAACAGCAGAGAUCAAAGAAAAGACUUCUGUUUUCUGGCCACCAGAUAUAUGUUAUCUGUGCUUAAAGAAUUGAAAAACACACAUCAAAGGAGAAUUUUCUUGGAAAGAGAGGGUUCAAGCAUCACUGUUAGGUGUGCUGGAAUCCUUUCCCGAGUCAGUACUGCUUUCUAGAAGAAAACCGGGGAGAUCUAUUUGGAAUGUAUCUAACUCCAAAGAAACCAUCAGAGGUAACAGUAGAGACGGGGUUUCACCAUGUUGGCCAGACUGGUCUUGAACUCUCGACCUCGUGAUUCGCCCGCCUCGGCCUCCCAAAGUGCUGGGAUUACAGGUGUGAGACACCACACCCGGCGGAUAGAGAGAAUUUUGACAGAUGUAGUGUCACUCUGUCGCCCAGGCUGGAGUGCAGUGGCGUGAUCUCGGCUCACUGCAACCUCUGCUACCCAGGUUCAAGCGAUUCUCCUGCCUCAGCCUCCCAAGGAGCUGGGAUUGCAGGCACCUGCCACCACGCCCAGCUAAUUUUUGUAGUUUUGGUAGAGAUGGUGUUUCACCAUUUUGGCCAGGCUGGUCUUAAACUCCUGACCUUGUGAUCCACCUGCCUUCGCCUCCCAAAGUGCUGGUAUUACAGGCAUGAGCCACUGUGCCCAGCCUAAAUGUUUUCUUUAAAAGCAAGGUAAGUAUGCCUAGAUGCACUGCCUCUUAGUAAUUUUUGAGGAUGGAUUAUUCAUUAAAUUGCUUCCCUUUCUCACAGCUGGUGAAUUAGAACGAUAGUGAGCUUACAAGAGCUUUAACGAGGAAAAGAUGGUCAUUGUUUAACAGAGAAGGAUGGUUUGGGUGAGCAUUUUUGUGUUUUUGGAGGGGAACUUUGAGGGCAAUGAGUGUUGCACCUGUGUCCACUGAGGAUCUCUGGGCGGGGUAAAAGGAAGGCAGGGAUGAGAGUGAGGAAGGGAGACAGGAGGGUCCCAAAUACGAACUUUGACUUAACGAGGAUGAUUACUAGAAGGGAAAGAUUGUGGAUUCAUUGAUGAGAUGUUGAACCAUGAAAACUCUAAUUGUAGAACUCACUUCAGACUGAAUUGACUUGGCUUUCAGUAGCAGAAGCCCUUUGUCUACUUCUCUAGUAUUGAAGUGAAUGCAAAUUUCUCAAUGUAAGAAAAGUAGAGUGGUGAAAUAAGAGUGUGGGUUCCAGGGUCAGACAACUGGGUGCAUAAAAAGGGUAAGGAUGCUACAACUGGUAAGCCCUGUGAGAAUUAUUUAAUCCUUCCAUGUCUCAUUCCGCUCAUCUGGAAAAUGAUGAUCAUACUAACUUAUGAGAUGUGUGUACAGACUAGAUAUAAUAUUAAAACAUUUCUGAUACCUAUGCAUUAUAUUGGA
Molecule: long non-coding RNA, 1439 nt
Organism: Homo sapiens (human)
Lineage: Eukaryota; Metazoa; Chordata; Mammalia; Primates; Hominidae
Gene: CDKN2B-AS1
Product: CDKN2B antisense RNA 1
Source: Ensembl